CUUCCCCGGCACGCCACAACCCAUGGUAGGGGUCACUGAAAUUGCCACAUGAAGAAAUUUUAAUGAGAAUUAAAUCAAGUUAAGAAGACAAGUUUAGUCUAGAAAUCAAAUUAGAGAAGAAAGACUAUCUAAAAAUUUAUAGUAGAGGAGAAUAUUUAACACCCUAUAUAUGGCCUAUCCUUCUGAUGUCACUAAGGCACAACGGGCUAAGCGAUGCUUAAUGAGAAUGAGGGC
This 234-nucleotide long non-coding RNA is filed under the name Elaeis guineensis (African oil palm). RNAcentral's name for it is "long non-coding RNA (EGUI_LNC027026)". Lineage: Eukaryota; Viridiplantae; Streptophyta; Magnoliopsida; Arecales; Arecaceae. The record is from RNAcentral.